Molecule: ribosomal RNA, 499 nt
Filed under: uncultured bacterium
Lineage: Bacteria
Description: partial 16S ribosomal RNA
Rfam family: Bacterial small subunit ribosomal RNA
Source: RNAcentral
GAUGAACGCUGGCGGCGUGCCUAAUACAUGCAAGUCGAGCGAACAGACGAGAGUGCUUGCACUCUCUGACGUUAGCGGCGGACGGGUGAGUAACACGUGGUUAACCUACCUUUAAGACUGGUUUAACUUCGGGAAACCGGAGCUAAUCCCGGAUAAUAUUUAGCUUCGCAUGAACCAAUAGUGAAAGACGGUUCUGCUGUCACUUAUAGAUGGACCCGCGGUGUAUUAGCUAGUUGGUGAGGUAACGGCGCACCGAGGCAACGAUACAUAGCCGACCUGAGAGGGUGAUCGGCCACACAGGGACUGAGACACGGCCCAGACUCCUACGGGAGGCAGCAGUAGGGAAUCUUCCGCAAAGGACGAAAGUCUGACGGAGCAAUGCCGCGUGAGUGAAGAAGGUUUUCGGAUAGUAAAACUCUGUUGUAAGGGAAGAACAAGUACGUUAGUAACUGAACGUACCUUGACGGUACCUUAACAGAAAGCCACGGCUAACUACGUG